Molecule: unclassified non-coding RNA, 228 nt
Filed under: Melitaea cinxia (Glanville fritillary)
Lineage: Eukaryota; Metazoa; Arthropoda; Insecta; Lepidoptera; Nymphalidae
Description: misc RNA ENSMCXG00005014667.1
Source: RNAcentral
AACCAUAUGAAGUCCGUGAGAUCGACGAAGAGUUUGCGAUCAAUUAGAUCAGUUCGUACGGCAAGGUCUGGUAAAAUUUUUGAUGGUAACAUGCAAAGCUUGGAUAAUAUGAUACUUAUGGCCUGUGCGAAGUUUAAUUGUCCAUACAUUGUGACUGUGAGGAAAGAAACGAAGCAGGAACUAAAAAUAACAAACAUUAAACAAUUACCGCAAAUACUUCUCAAGAUA